Molecule: transfer RNA, 78 nt
Filed under: Candidatus Thalassarchaeaceae archaeon
Lineage: Archaea; Methanobacteriati; Thermoplasmatota; Candidatus Poseidoniia; Candidatus Poseidoniales; Candidatus Thalassarchaeaceae
Description: tRNA-Met
Rfam family: tRNA
About the family: Transfer RNA (tRNA) molecules are approximately 80 nucleotides in length. Their secondary structure includes four short double-helical elements and three loops (D, anti-codon, and T loops).
Source: RNAcentral
AGCGAGUUGGAGUAGCCAGGUUAUCUCGUCGGGCUCAUAACCCGGAGACCGGCGGUUCAAAUCCGCCACUCGCUACCA